RNAcentral lists this long non-coding RNA (588 nucleotides) under Homo sapiens (human). RNAcentral's name for it is "HSALNT0070759". The record is from RNAcentral. Lineage: Eukaryota; Metazoa; Chordata; Mammalia; Primates; Hominidae.
AGACAGACCCACCCUCUAUCUGGGUGGGCGCCAUCCAAUCAUUUGCCAGCAUGGCUAGAACAAAACAGGCAGAAGAAAGUGGGAGAGGGUGACUUGCUGAGUCUUCCAGCCCUCACCUUUCUCCCAUGCUGGGUGCUUCCUGCCCUCGAAUAUCAGACUGCAAGUUCUUCAGCUUUUGGACUCUUGGACUAACACCACUGGUUUGCCAGGGGCUCUCGAGCCUUCAGCCACGGCUGAAGGCUGCACUGUCAGCUUCCCUACUUUUGAGGUAUGGACUCAGACUGAUCCACUACCGGCUUCCUUGCUCCUCAACAUGCAGAUGGUCUAUCAUGGGACUUUACUUCGUGAUCAUAUGACAAUUUGCUACACCAACAAUAGAAAACUAACACAGACAUUAUUCUGUGAUAUGAUCACAAAAUUUUCUACAACUUGAGAGAAAUUGAACUGGAAAAUCAUAAGCUUCAUGGAAGAGUGGGAGUUUUCAUCAUUUAUAUUUAUAUGAAGAAUGUCUAGCAAGACCUUAAAUGAUGACAAAUGGCAACACUACUAAAAUUUUACCCAAUCAGAAGUUUCAUGCCCUAGAGCUCU